GAUGAACGCUGGCGGCGUGCCUAAUACAUGCAAGUCGAGCGAACAGACGAGGAGCUUGCUCCUCUGACGUUAGCGGCGGACGGGUGAGUAACACGUGGAUAACCUACCUAUAAGACUGGGAUAACUUCGGGAAACCGGAGCUAAUACCGGAUAACAUGUUGAACCGCAUGGUUCAACAGUGAAAGACGGUUUUGCUGUCACUUAUAGAUGGAUCCGCGUCGCAUUAGCUAGUUGGUAAGGUAACGGCUUACCAAGGCAACGAUGCGUAGCCGACCUGAGAGGGUGAUCGGCCACACUGGAACUGAGACAGGGUCCAGACUCCUACGGGAGGCAGCAGUAGGGAAUCUUCCGCAAUGGGCGAAAGCCUGACGGAGCAACGCCGCGUGAGUGAAGAAGGUCUUCGGAUCGUAAAACUCUGUUAUUAGGGAAGAACAAAUGUGUAAGUAACUAUGCACGUCUUGACGGUACCUAAUCAGAAAGCCACGGCUAACUACGUG
RNAcentral lists this ribosomal RNA (497 nucleotides) under uncultured bacterium. Its description in RNAcentral is "partial 16S ribosomal RNA". It matches the Rfam family "Bacterial small subunit ribosomal RNA", at positions 28 to 507 of the family's 1533-position model. The record is from RNAcentral.